This is a long non-coding RNA of Megalobrama amblycephala (Wuchang bream), 629 nucleotides long. RefSeq lists it as uncharacterized. The record is from RefSeq and is a predicted model, not a curated record. The transcript has 4 exons. NCBI's taxonomy places the organism in Eukaryota, Metazoa, Chordata, Actinopteri, Cypriniformes, Xenocyprididae.
UCUCUGACCUGAAAGACUUUGGGCGCGCUCACUAGAGACGCAAGAGCUGAGGAGAGCGUGGCCGAAAACGUUCCUGCAGUGAUGAGAGGUCCAAACCCAGACACUAGAGUCAUUACCUACACAAACACACACACCGAUCACACCUGGAAGUUGUUCAUGAGGCCGUAGUUGCAUUUGGUGGUCUGGCAGAUUGAGAAGUCGUAGCCCAGAUUGCAGGCCGAAGAGAAGUUGCAACUGGAACCCACUGGAAUAGUGUCGUUGCGGUUCCCCGUCGCAUCUCGAACGACCGUGACGGCUGCCAAGAAUCAGUGCAAUCACUCUGUUAGAUGUCCAGACUGAGACUGGAGAGAGUAAUUACAAGUGUGCGUUCAGGACUCACAAACAACCAGUGCGAUGCCCAGAUCGCCAGAGAUGUUGGCUCCAGCAAGGAUCCCAGUGGCUGCCGGGAAAAAGAUGGCAAAAACAGAGAAGAACGUUUCUCCAUCCCGGAAUUCUGUUAAAGAAGCCUUUGGAACGCUUGUCUUUGGUGGAGGGAAUCACUGUUCCCACAAAUACAUUGCCAAUGGCCACCAGCAGGAUCACCAACAGACCGACCUGAGCCUAUAGAGAGAGAAGGUUCUUCAACUGCU